UUAAGCGACUAAGCGUACACGGUGGAUGCCCUGGCAGUCAGAGGCGAUGAAGGACGUGCUAAUCUGCGAUAAGCGUCGGUGAGGUGAUAUGAACCGUUAUAACCGGCGAUUUCCGAAUGGGGAAACCCAGUGUGUUUCGACACACUAUCAUUAACUGAAUCCAUAGGUUAAUGAGGCGAACCGGGGGAACUGAAACAUCUAAGUACCCCGAGGAAAAGAAAUCAACCGAGAUUCCCCCAGUAGCGGCGAGCGAACGGGGAGGAGCCCAGAGCCUGAAUCAGUGUGUGUGUUAGUGGAAGCGUCUGGAAAGGCGUGCGAUACAGGGUGACAGCCCCGUACACAAAAAUGCACAUAUUGUGAGCUCGAUGAGUAGGGCGGGACACGUGGUAUCCUGUCUGAAUAUGGGGGGACCAUCCUCCAAGGCUAAAUACUCCUGACUGACCGAUAGUGAACCAGUACCGUGAGGGAAAGGCGAAAAGAACCCCGGCGAGGGGAGUGAAAAAGAACCUGAAACCGUGUACGUACAAGCAGUGGGAGCCUCUUAAUGGGGUGACUGCGUACCUUUUGUAUAAUGGGUCAGCGACUUAUAUUCUGUAGCAAGGUUAACCGAAUAGGGGAGCCGAAGGGAAACCGAGUCUUAACUGGGCGUUAAGUUGCAGGGUAUAGACCCGAAACCCGGUGAUCUAGCCAUGGGCAGGUUGAAGGUUGGGUAACACUAACUGGAGGACCGAACCGACUAAUGUUGAAAAAUUAGCGGAUGACUUGUGGCUGGGGGUGAAAGGCCAAUCAAACCGGGAGAUAGCUGGUUCUCCCCGAAAGCUAUUUAGGUAGCGCCUCGUGAAUUCAUCUCCGGGGGUAGAGCACUGUUUCGGCAAGGGGGUCAUCCCGACUUACCAACCCGAUGCAAACUGCGAAUACCGGAGAAUGUUAUCACGGGAGACACACGGCGGGUGCUAACGUCCGUCGUGAAGAGGGAAACAACCCAGACCGCCAGCUAAGGUCCCAAAGUCAUGGUUAAGUGGGAAACGAUGUGGGAAGGCCCAGACAGCCAGGAUGUUGGCUUAGAAGCAGCCAUCAUUUAAAGAAAGCGUAAUAGCUCACUGGUCGAGUCGGCCUGCGCGGAAGAUGUAACGGGGCUAAACCAUGCACCGAAGCUGCGGCAGCGACACUAUGUGUUGUUGGGUAGGGGAGCGUUCUGUAAGCCUGUGAAGGUGACCUGUGAGGGUUGCUGGAGGUAUCAGAAGUGCGAAUGCUGACAUAAGUAACGAUAAAGCGGGUGAAAAGCCCGCUCGCCGGAAGACCAAGGGUUCCUGUCCAACGUUAAUCGGGGCAGGGUGAGUCGACCCCUAAGGCGAGGCCGAAAGGCGUAGUCGAUGGGAAACAGGUUAAUAUUCCUGUACUUGGUGUUACUGCGAAGGGGGGACGGAGAAGGCUAUGUUGGCCGGGCGACGGUUGUCCCGGUUUAAGCGUGUAGGCUGGUUUUCCAGGCAAAUCCGGAAAACCAAGGCUGAGGCGUGAUGACGAGGCACUACGGUGCUGAAGCGACAAAUGCCCUGCUUCCAGGAAAAGCCUCUAAGCAUCAGGUAACAUCAAAUCGUACCCCAAACCGACACAGGUGGUCAGGUAGAGAAUACCAAGGCGCUUGAGAGAACUCGGGUGAAGGAACUAGGCAAAAUGGUGCCGUAACUUCGGGAGAAGGCACGCUGAUAUGUAGGUGAAGCGACUUGCUCGUGGAGCUGAAAUCAGUCGAAGAUACCAGCUGGCUGCAACUGUUUAUUAAAAACACAGCACUGUGCAAACACGAAAGUGGACGUAUACGGUGUGACGCCUGCCCGGUGCCGGAAGGUUAAUUGAUGGGGUUAGCGGUAACGCGAAGCUCUUGAUCGAAGCCCCGGUAAACGGCGGCCGUAACUAUAACGGUCCUAAGGUAGCGAAAUUCCUUGUCGGGUAAGUUCCGACCUGCACGAAUGGCGUAAUGAUGGCCAGGCUGUCUCCACCCGAGACUCAGUGAAAUUGAACUCGCUGUGAAGAUGCAGUGUACCCGCGGCAAGACGGAAAGACCCCGUGAACCUUUACUAUAGCUUGACACUGAACAUUGAGCCUUGAUGUGUAGGAUAGGUGGGAGGCUUUGAAGUGUGGACGCCAGUCUGCAUGGAGCCGACCUUGAAAUACCACCCUUUAAUGUUUGAUGUUCUAACGUUGGCCCGUAAUCCGGGUUGCGGACAGUGUCUGGUGGGUAGUUUGACUGGGGCGGUCUCCUCCUAAAGAGUAACGGAGGAGCACGAAGGUUGGCUAAUCCUGGUCGGACAUCAGGAGGUUAGUGCAAUGGCAUAAGCCAGCUUGACUGCGAGCGUGACGGCGCGAGCAGGUGCGAAAGCAGGUCAUAGUGAUCCGGUGGUUCUGAAUGGAAGGGCCAUCGCUCAACGGAUAAAAGGUACUCCGGGGAUAACAGGCUGAUACCGCCCAAGAGUUCAUAUCGACGGCGGUGUUUGGCACCUCGAUGUCGGCUCAUCACAUCCUGGGGCUGAAGUAGGUCCCAAGGGUAUGGCUGUUCGCCAUUUAAAGUGGUACGCGAGCUGGGUUUAGAACGUCGUGAGACAGUUCGGUCCCUAUCUGCCGUGG
This 2622-nucleotide ribosomal RNA is filed under the name human gut metagenome. RNAcentral's name for it is "bacterial LSU rRNA". It matches the Rfam family "Bacterial large subunit ribosomal RNA". The record is from RNAcentral.